AUUGAACGCUGGCGGCAGGCUUAACACAUGCAAGUCGAACGGUAACAGGAAGAAAGCUUGCUUUCUUUGCUGACGAGUGGCGGACGGGUGAGUAAUGCUUGGGAAUCUGCCUUAUGGAGGGGGAUAACUACGGGAAACUGUAGCUAAUACCGCGUAAUAUCUUCGGAUUAAAGUAUGGGAUCUUCGGACCAUAUGCCAUAAGAUGAGCCCAAGUGAGAUUAGGUAGUUGGUGAGGUAAGGGCUCACCAAGCUGACGAUCUCUAGCUGGUUUGAGAGGAUGACCAGCCACACUGGAACUGAGACACGGUCCAGACUCCUACGGGAGGCAGCAGUGGGGAAUAUUGCACAAUGGGCGCAAGCCUGAUGCAGCCAUGCCGCGUGAAUGAAGAAGGCUUUCGGGUUGUAAAGUUCUUUCAGUGGUGAGGAAGGUGCAUUAUCUAAUAGGUAAUGCAAUUGACGUUAGCCACAGAAGAAGCACCGGCUAACUCCGUGCCAGCAGCCGCGGUAAUACGGAGGGUGCGAGCGUUAAUCGGAAUAACUGGGCGUAAAGGGCACGCAGGCGGUUGUCUAAGUCAGAUGUGAAAGCCCCGAGCUUAACUUGGGAAUUGCAUUUGAGACUGGGCGACUAGAGUCCUCUAGGGAGGGGUAGAAUUCCACGUGUAGCGGUGAAAUGCGUAGAGAUGUGGAGGAAUACCGAAGCGAGCAGCCCCUUGGAGAGAGACUGACGCUGAGGUGCGAAAGCGUGGGUAGCAAACAGG
RNAcentral lists this ribosomal RNA (758 nucleotides) under uncultured bacterium. Its description in RNAcentral is "bacterial SSU rRNA". It matches the Rfam family "Bacterial small subunit ribosomal RNA", at positions 28 to 776 of the family's 1533-position model. The record is from RNAcentral.